GACAGAGGGUGCAAACGUUGUUCGGAAUUACUGGGCGUAAAGCGCGUGUAGGCUGCUUCGCAAGUCGGAUGUGAAAGCCCUGGGCUCAACCCAGGAAGUGCAUUCGAAACUGCAGAGCUGGAGUCCUGGAGAGGAAGGCGGAAUUCUCGGUGUAGAGGUGAAAAUUCGUAGAUAUCGAGAGGAACACCGGUGGCGAAGGCGGCCUUCUGGACAGUGACUGACGCUGAGACGCGAAAAGCGUGGGGGAGCAAAACAGG
This 257-nucleotide ribosomal RNA is filed under the name uncultured bacterium. RNAcentral describes it as "partial 16S ribosomal RNA". It matches the Rfam family "Bacterial small subunit ribosomal RNA", at positions 524 to 776 of the family's 1533-position model. The record is from RNAcentral.